CGGCGAAAGGGUGAGUAACACGUAACCAACGUACCCUGCGGAUCGGAAUAACCUCUGGAAACGGUGGGUAAUGCCGAAUGGUCCCCCGGAAGACAUCUUCCGGCGGGUAAACGGUGGCUUCGGCUGCUGCUGCGGGAGCGGGUUGCGGCCUAUCAGCUUGUUGGUGGGGUAACGGCCUACCAAGGCAAUGACGGGUAGCGGGUCUGAGAGGAUGAUCCGUCACACUGGGACUGAGACACUGCCCAG
This 246-nucleotide ribosomal RNA is filed under the name uncultured bacterium. RNAcentral describes it as "partial 16S ribosomal RNA". It matches the Rfam family "Bacterial small subunit ribosomal RNA", at positions 96 to 334 of the family's 1533-position model. The record is from RNAcentral.